CCUACGGGUGGCAGCAGUGAGGAAUAUUGGUCAAUGGACGAGAGUCUGAACCAGCCAAGUAGCGUGAAGGAUGACUGCCCUAUGGGUUGUAAACUUCUUUUAUAUGGGAAUAAAACGUUCCACGUGUGGGAUUUUGUAUGUACCAUAUGAAUAAGGAUCGGCUAACUCCGUGCCAGCAGCCGCGGUAAUACGGAGGAUCCGAGCGUUAUCCGGAUUUAUUGGGUUUAAAGGGAGCGUAGGUGGAUUGUUAAGUCAGUUGUGAAAGUUUGCGGCUCAACGGUAAAAUUGCAGUUGAAACUGGCAGUCUUGAGUACAGUAGAGGUGGGCGGAAUUCGUGGUGUAGCGGUGAAAUGCUUAGAUAUCACGAAGAACUCCGAUUGCGAAGGCAGUUCACUGGACUGCAACUGACACUGAGGCUCGAAAGUGUGGGUAUCAAACAGGAUUAGAUACCCCAGUAGUC
RNAcentral lists this ribosomal RNA (460 nucleotides) under uncultured bacterium. RNAcentral describes it as "partial 16S ribosomal RNA". It matches the Rfam family "Bacterial small subunit ribosomal RNA", at positions 338 to 795 of the family's 1533-position model. The record is from RNAcentral.